RNAcentral lists this unclassified non-coding RNA (266 nucleotides) under Hevea brasiliensis (rubber tree). Lineage: Eukaryota; Viridiplantae; Streptophyta; Magnoliopsida; Malpighiales; Euphorbiaceae. The record is from RNAcentral.
GUUCAGGGAGGAGGUAUCUGGUUGCGAUCUUCCACACAUGAGUAUCAACUGGAAUAGCAUGGUGCUGAUCUAGAGAGAAGAGAGCAAUACAUGCUGCGACCUUAGGACCAACACCAGGUAGAGAGCACAGCGAAACAAUGGCCUCAGGAAGAUCUACUUUGCGAAGUGCAGCAAGCCACUCCAUACCUCCACCAGGCUUUGAUUUCAGUGCUUCCACAGUACCUACUAUAUAUUUAGCCCUGUAACCAAAACCAGCAGCUCUUAGC